CUACGUGCCAGCAGCCGCGGUAAUACGUAGGGUGCGAGCGUUAAUCGGAAUUACUGGGCGUAAAGCGAGCGCAGACGGUUACUUAAGCAGGAUGUGAAAUCCCCGGGCUUAACCUGGGAACUGCGCUCUGAACUGGGUAGCUAGAGUAUGUCAGAGGGGGGUAGAAUUCCACGUGUAGCAGUGAAAUGCGUAGAGAUGUGGAGGAAUACCGAUGGCGAAGGCAGCCCCCUGGGAUAAUACCGACGUUCAUGCUCGAAAGCGUGGGUAGCAAACAGGAUUAGAUACCCUGGUAGUCCACGCCCUAAACGAUGUCGAUUAGCUGUUGGGCAACUUGAUUGCUUAGUAGCGUAGCUAACGCGUGAAAUCGACCGCCUGGGGAGUACGGUCGCAAGAUUAAAACUCAAAGGAAUUGACGGGGACCCGCACAAGCGGUGGAUCAUGUUCUUUAAUUCGAUGAUAACCGAUAAACCUUACCAGGUCUUGACAUCCUUGGAAUCUUUCAGAAA
RNAcentral lists this ribosomal RNA (506 nucleotides) under uncultured bacterium. Its description in RNAcentral is "bacterial SSU rRNA". It matches the Rfam family "Bacterial small subunit ribosomal RNA", at positions 501 to 1006 of the family's 1533-position model. The record is from RNAcentral.